RNAcentral lists this transfer RNA (63 nucleotides) under Isshikia dimidiaticornis. Its description in RNAcentral is "tRNA-Trp". The record is from RNAcentral. Lineage: Eukaryota; Metazoa; Arthropoda; Insecta; Coleoptera; Chrysomelidae.
AAGGAUUUAAGUUAAUUAAACUCUUAACCUUCAAAGUUGAAAAUAGAUUUUGUCUAAGCCUUA